RNAcentral lists this ribosomal RNA (433 nucleotides) under uncultured bacterium. Its description in RNAcentral is "partial 16S ribosomal RNA". It matches the Rfam family "Bacterial small subunit ribosomal RNA", at positions 29 to 507 of the family's 1533-position model. The record is from RNAcentral.
AACGAACGCUGGCGGCAUGCCUAACACAUGCAAGUCGAACGAGACCUUCGGGUCUAGUGGCGCUCGGGUGCGUAACGCGUGGGAACCUGCCCUUAGGUUCGGAAUAACUCCCCGAAAGGGGUGCUAAUACCGGAUAAUGUCUUCGGACCAAAGAUUUAUCGCCUUUGGAUGGGCCCGCGUUGGAUUAGCUAGUUGGUAGGGUAAAAGCCUACCAAGGCGACGAUCCAUAGCUGGUCUGAGAGGAUGAUCAGCCACACUGGGACUGAGACACGGCCCAGACUCCUACGGGAGGCAGCAGUGGGGAAUAUUGGACAAUGGGCGAAAGCCUGAUCCAGCAAUGCCGCGUGAGUGAUGAUGGCCUUAGGGUUGUAAAGCUCUUUUACCCGGGAUGAUAAUGACAGUACCGGGAGAAUAAGCUCCGGCUAACUCCGUG